UAGGGAAUCUUCCGCAAUGGGCGAAAGCCUGACGGAGCAACGCCGCGUGAGUGAUGAAGGUCUUCGGAUCGUAAAACUCUGUUAUUAGGGAAGAACAUAUGUGUAAGUAACUGUGCACAUCUUGACGGUACCUAAUCAGAAAGCCACGGCUAACUACGUGCCAGCAGCCGCGGUAAUACGUAGGUGGCAAGCGUUAUCCGAAAUUAUUGGGCGUAAAGCGCGCGUAGGCGGUUUUUUAAGUCUGAUGUGAAAGCCCACGGCUCAACCGUGGAGGGUCAUUGGAAACUGGAAAACUUGAGUGCAGAAGAGGAAAGUGGAAUUCCAUGUGUAGCGGUGAAAUGCGCAGAGAUAUGGAGGAACACCAGUGGCGAAGGCGACUUUCUGGUCUGUAACUGACGCUGAUGUGCGAAAGCGUGGGGAUCAAACAGGAUUAGAUACCCUGGUAGUCCACGCCGUAAACGAUGAGUGCUAAGUGUUAGGGGGUUUCCGCCCCUUAGUGCUGCAGCUAACGCAUUAAGCACUCCGCCUGGGGAGUACGACCGCAAGGUU
This 549-nucleotide ribosomal RNA is filed under the name uncultured bacterium. RNAcentral describes it as "bacterial SSU rRNA". It matches the Rfam family "Bacterial small subunit ribosomal RNA", at positions 355 to 895 of the family's 1533-position model. The record is from RNAcentral.